RNAcentral lists this non-coding RNA (424 nucleotides) under Otolemur garnettii (small-eared galago). RNAcentral describes it as "Eukaryotic large subunit ribosomal RNA". It matches the Rfam family "Eukaryotic large subunit ribosomal RNA", at positions 3011 to 3399 of the family's 3401-position model. Lineage: Eukaryota; Metazoa; Chordata; Mammalia; Primates; Galagidae. The record is from Rfam by way of RNAcentral.
UUCUCUUCUUUGAGCAUUUGAGAGUGUUCAAAGCACAUUUCGUGUAUGUGCUUGGCUAAGGAGCCAAUGAGACAAAGCUGCCAUCUGUAGGAUUAUGACUGAACACCUCUAAGUCAGAAUCCUGCCCAGGCAGAAUGAUAAGGCAGCGCUGCGGGAGCCUCAGUUUGCCUUGGAUAGCGGGUUCCUCUCUUUCCCCACUGGCAGAGUACCAUGGACUAGGAUCCGUUGCCGAUUGCCUUUCAUUCUGGGAAAAGGGGCAUGGCUGGAAGGGGGCUGCCCCCUCACCUGUCACGCAUCACACGUUUGUGGGGAUCCUGGUGCUAAACCAUUCGUAGACAUCUUGCUUCUGGGUUGGGGUUUUGUCUGUAUCAGAGCAGCUCCGUUGCUGCGAUCUAUUGAAAUUCAGCUCUCAACACAAGGGUUU